GUGAGGCCGUGACUCCCGUCCUCUCCUCGGCGUCCAGCGUCCUCACCGACUCCGAGACUCCGAGUCGCCAUCCUCGGCUCCUCCGAGUCUCUGACUGUCCGACAUCCGACUCCACGCCUCCGCGGCGACCGAGGGCCGAGGCGGUGAGGCCUCCCAUCCUCUUCUUGCCGACGUCGCCGACUCGCCGUCCUCGGCCUCCCGUGAGGCUGUGACCGGCGCCGGCGGUGACCCCGUCCUCUCCUCAUCUCCUCUGCCGCUCCGGCCGGCGGCCUCCUCGGGGUUCCCGGUUCCCGAGUCCCGACGGACCCGACCUCCUCGGCUCCUCCCAAGUCCCAGGGGCCAGCCGGCCAGGCCGCCAGGGCCCAGGCUCCCACGGUCCCACUCCCACCGGGCCACCUCCCGAGACCCGAGUGGGCCGAGUCCCGACCUCCUCCCCUCACUCCCUCAGGCCUCAGUCCCCUGUAACUAUUGGUUGUGACUUCACUACUUCAGCGGUUCGGCACUAUUCGGCCUCUUCUCGCCGUCGAGUUCGGAACUAUUCCACCUCUUCUCGACACAAUUAAGUUCGGCACUACUUGUCGGGAUCCAAGUUUGUUUUUCUUGACACAAUUAAGUUUUAUCAUUUUUAACUUUUUAAA
Phoenix dactylifera (date palm) is the source of this 638-nucleotide non-coding RNA. Lineage: Eukaryota; Viridiplantae; Streptophyta; Magnoliopsida; Arecales; Arecaceae. The record is from RefSeq and is a predicted model, not a curated record.